Molecule: ribosomal RNA, 469 nt
Filed under: bacterium 4A-2
Lineage: Bacteria
Description: bacterial SSU rRNA
Rfam family: Bacterial small subunit ribosomal RNA
Source: RNAcentral
GAUCAUGGCUCAGGAUGAACGCUGGCGGCGUGCUUAACACAUGCAAGUCGAACGAUGAUCCCAGCUUGCUGGGGGAUUAGUGGCGAACGGGUGAGUAACACGUGAGUAACCUGCCCUUGACUCUGGGAUAAGCCUGGGAAACUGGGUCUAAUACCGGAUAUGACUCCUCAUCGCAUGGUGGGGGGUGGAAAGCUUUUGUGGUUUUGGAUGGACUCGCGGCCUAUCAGCUUGUUGGUGGGGUAAUGGCCUACCAAGGCGACGACGGGUAGCCGGCCUGAGAGGGUGACCGGCCACACUGGGAUUGAGACACGGCCCAGACUCUUACGGGAGGCAGCAGUGGGGAAUAUUGCACAAUGGGCGAAAGCCUGAUGCAGCGACGCCGCGUGAGGGAUGACGGCCUUCGGGUUGUAAACCUCUUUCAGUAGGGAAGAAGCCGUGAGGUGACGGUACCGCAGAAGAAGGCCGAACG